UACAGAGGGUACAAGCGUUGUUCGGAAUUAUUGGGCGUAAAGCGCGUGUAGGCGGCUUUGCAAGUCGGGUGUGAAAGCCCUCAGCUCAACUGAGGAAGUGCGCCCGAAACUGCAGAGCUUGAGUACCGGAGAGGAUGGCGGAAUUCCCGAAGUAGAGGUGAAAUUCGUAGAUAUCAGGAGGAACACCGGUGGCGAAGGCGCUCAUCUGGCCCAAUACUGACGCUGAAGCGCGAAAGCUAGGGGAGCAAACGGG
Molecule: ribosomal RNA, 253 nt
Filed under: uncultured bacterium
Lineage: Bacteria
Description: partial 16S ribosomal RNA
Rfam family: Bacterial small subunit ribosomal RNA
Source: RNAcentral